UGUUGAGGAAGAUAAUGACGGUACUCAACAAGGAAGUGACGGCUAACUACGUGCCAGCAGCCGCGGUAAAACGUAGGUCACAAGCGUUGUCCGGAAUUACUGGGUGUAAAGGGAGCGCAGGCGGGAGAACAAGUUGGAAGUGAAAUCCAUGGGCUCAACCCAUGAACUGCUUUCAAAACUGUUUUUCUUGAGUAGUGCAGAGGUAGGCGGAAUUCCCGGUGUAGCGGUGGAAUGCGUAGAUAUCGGGAGGAACACCAGUGGCGAAGGCGGCCUACUGGGCACCAACUGACGCUGAGGCUCGAAAGUGUGGGUAGCAAACAGGAUUAGAUACCCUGGUAGUCCACACCGUAAACGAUGAUUACUAGGUGUUGGAGGAUUGACCCCUUCAGUGCCGCAGUUAACACAAUAAGUAAUCCACCUGGGGAGUACGACCGCAAGGUUGAAACUCAAAGGAAUUGACGGGGGCCCGCACAAGCAGUGGAGUAUGUGGUUUAAUUCGACGCAACGCGAAGAACCUUACCAAGUCUUGACAUCCCUUGACGAACAUAGAAAUAUGUUUUCUCUUCGGARCAAGGAGACAGGUGGUGCAUGGUUGUCGUCAGCUCGUGUCGUGAGAUGUUGGGUUAAGUCCCGCAACGAGCGCAACCCUUAUGGUCAGUUACUACGCAAGAGGACUCUGGCCAGACUGC
RNAcentral lists this ribosomal RNA (689 nucleotides) under Faecalibacterium prausnitzii. RNAcentral describes it as "bacterial SSU rRNA". It matches the Rfam family "Bacterial small subunit ribosomal RNA", at positions 437 to 1152 of the family's 1533-position model. The record is from RNAcentral. Lineage: Bacteria; Bacillati; Bacillota; Clostridia; Eubacteriales; Oscillospiraceae.